UUGCGCAAGUAAUGUUUUAUCGAGCAAUCUUCGCAAUCGCCUGCUGCGGCCAAACGCCUAUUCUUUAAACCAGAAUCACUGCCCGGACAUAGAGUCCACUGCGGCCCGCCGAAUCAGGCCAGCCGCGGCCGCCAACCCCACAGGGUUGCCCCGGCCCCCGGGCUGCGCACUGUCCAGAAGACGGAGCGAGGUGAGCCAACAUCACAAGUGUUGAGCCAGGACGAAAAAAUUCAAAGGGCGACCGACGGGUCGCCCU
Molecule: small RNA, 256 nt
Filed under: Pseudomonas fragi
Lineage: Bacteria; Pseudomonadati; Pseudomonadota; Gammaproteobacteria; Pseudomonadales; Pseudomonadaceae
Description: Pseudomonas sRNA P24
Rfam family: Pseudomonas sRNA P24
About the family: P24 is conserved across several Pseudomonas species and in Azotobacter vinelandii.
Source: RNAcentral